GACUUUACCGGCAAAAAAUAAGCUUUUGAAAAAAACAUUUUAAACAUUUCAAUUUCCUGAUUGAACAACUUAGAACCACACCUCAAAAAACCGAGAAUCAGCAUAAGUGUGGUUGGUGCUAUACGUUGGUGUUUGAAAGGGCAUUCAGCGAAUACUUUUGCUACUGGAUAUCGACAUUGUUUGGGUACAUUUAAGAACGGAGAUUAAACCCUGCGGACUUUAAUCUGACUGGAUACCCGAAGAAGGAUCAAGACGACGCCGGGAGGCUUGAGCGAAUCAGGACCUGACCUUUGGGGGCGGUGGGUUUGGGGAUUGACCAACUUUGGCUAUCUGAUGCAAGGGAUCUGGAUGCAUCAGGACUAUCCCAAGAGUGAGGGUCACAGAGGCUACCUGUCUUCACCAGCCUGCAGGGCGGCGACAGAGAGCAGGGCGCUGCACCGACAGAACCGGCGGAGCCCAGGAAUGAGCGAGUUCUGGCACAAGAUGGGCUGCUGCGUGGUGGCCAAACCCCCACCGAAGAAGAAGAAGAGGAGGAAGAUUGACUGCAGCAUGAUCGGAGAGCCCACAAACUUUAUGCACCUCACACACAUUGGCUCCGGGGAGAUGGCGGAAGGUUUGCCGCCGUCAGGGUCAGUCCAGGAACAGAUGAGGUCCAAAGGACCCAGCACCAAUGGCAGAAGCAGCCUCUUAUAGCCAACAUAUGGACCGAUCCAAGGACUCGACGUGAGCUCAUUUCCCCCUUCCUCGGACCCAGCCUCAAGCCAAACUUCAUGGACCAACUCUGCAUAUUGCACUUAGGCCCACAAUGACCACCGCAAAUGGCACAAAAAAAUAAAAAAUAAAGAUGACUUAAUUUCCCAGAAUCCCUUUCGUCCCCCAUCAUCCAGUUUCAAAUGGAACAUGACUCUUGCCUUGAAGCGGGAAAGUACCCUGGAUUCUCACUCAGCACUGGGGACUGGACGGGAUUGUGUGUGUGGGCUUUUAGGAGGUAUUUGUUACACUUCAGGCUGCUGGCGGAUACAGAUUUUCCCAUUUGCCUCUGUCUCAAGCAAGGGAUUGUCCGAACAUUUCAUAUUUCACCAACAAGACCGUCUCACAAGUGUGAUACUGCUCUUUCAAUAACGCAAACAAAAGUUUUCUUUGUUCUUGACACGAAGUGGCAUGCAUUUGUGCCCUUUUAAAAGUGUUGUCUGUAAUGAUUAUAAUGCCUUUAUAAGUAGUAAAUGGUGGAAACUGAGCCCAUAUGUUUCCUAUAGUGCCAUGACAAGCAGGCACUUUUCAUAUGUAUUGCUAAAGUGCAGUGGUCAAAUUAAUAUUUAGGUUUUGGAAGCAAAGUUGCUCAAUUGACAAGCAGGAUGUGGCAUCACCCCUGGCUCCACCCGCUACUUGUCUGGAGCAGUUUAAGAUCCAGUCUUAGCAGCACUGUAGACCUACAGGGUGGGAGUGGUCACCGUGUAGGCCUACAGGGUGGGAGUGGUCACUGUGUAGGCCUACUUUGCUAAUGUUUUGGCACUUUGCCCGUUUCACGUGGAUGAUUCUUAGACUAGAAAAAUGAUUUCUCACACACAUGCCACCAUUAGUCACUCAGUCUUCCUUACAAAUGCACGUCAAGUUUUUCAUAGACAACCCUCUCAUAUAUACUUCUACCUUAAGUGUUAUUGCCAAAGUUAUGCCUUUAUAUAUUAGUUUAUUUUUUACCAUGCCUGCUUUAACACCAGCACAUCUGAACACUGGAUAGCACUGGCAGGAAGCCAGCGGCGGUUAAAGCGUUGGGGCAAGUAACCGAAAGGUCGCUGGUUCAAAUACCCGAGCAGGCGAGGUGAAAAAUGUAUCGACGUGCCUUGCUCAUAGGCACUGUACGAUGGCUGAACCUGUAAAACACUGCACCUAUCUGGUGUACGUGACACAAAAAAGAAGAAAUUAAUUACCUUCUGUCAUGUCCCAUAGACUCCCUUUUUGGGGUUUUAAACAAGUUUGUAUGGGGUAGUAGUCUUCUUGCGCAAUCCACUUAUAAGCGCUUGAAAGCUGAAUGUAAGAUGCCGUAACUAAUCUUAAUCGUUUGCCUUUAUCUAAAAACUAAUCUAGUUGGACUGUUAGUUCAGCAGGUUUAUGACGCCAACAUCUCAAAUGUAUCAUAAACUAUGGCAACUUGGCCUUGGUUCUCCUGUUGCAGUGUUCGUCUUAGAAUUGUCCCCUGCCUGUCUAAGCUGAGACAUGCUCAUUCACUUUUGAGCUAUUCUGAAAGGUGACUUUAUGGGCUUUCUGUUUCAAUGGCAAUCUACAGUUCAGGUUAGAGGAAACGGUAAAGCCUAUAGUACUACGGUGAGAAAGUGAUGGCUGAUUUUGCUUUCUGUUAUUUAUCAAGUUAUUUUGCCUCAUUACUGGUAAAUGGACCCGCUGUCAUUGUAUUCAAUAUUACAUUUAGAUGCAUGCCUACUACAGUUCAGGCAAACACUUGCCGUAUGAGAGUAAUUUUUAUUAUUUGUUUUACGACUGCCCUCCAUAUUUUUGUCAGCUGUGGAGCUGGGUUUUUUAGUUUUGUUUUAAGAUUUAUCUCUGACUGAAGAGAUUCCAGGAUGCAAUGUACGUGCUUUCUUUUUUCAGUUGCACUGUUUUCCUAGGUCUCCCUCUUUUAGUUUGAAUUGCACAUGUGUUCCACAGUCAUCCUAUGUGGACGUUGGUGAACAGAUGUGUGAUAGUAGAGGAAGUAUUUCAACUGCCGCAAAUCUGUGUGUUUUCUCCGCUUCUGGGCUUUUUCCCCUCCUGAAAAUACAGUCUAUUUUAUGUAUC
Oncorhynchus kisutch (coho salmon) is the source of this 2790-nucleotide RNA transcript. It is a transcript of the gene named CDC42 small effector protein 1-like, with no coding region annotated. The record is from RefSeq and is a predicted model, not a curated record. The transcript is spliced from 5 exons. NCBI's taxonomy places the organism in Eukaryota, Metazoa, Chordata, Actinopteri, Salmoniformes, Salmonidae.